AUAGCAGUAGCCUUGCAGAUCUUCCAGCAGUGCACAGGCAUCAAUGCAAUCAUGUUCUAUGCUCCUGUCCUAUUCGAUACAGUAGGAUUCGGCAACGAUGCUUCCCUGUAUUCAGCUGUUAUAACAGGUGCUGUCAAUGUUAUUUCUACUGUUGUAUCCAUCUACUCGGUGGACAAAAUAGGCCGUCGAAUGUUGUUAUUGGAGGCUGGGAUCCAAAUGUUUGUCUCUCAAGUGAAUAAUAGCAGUAAUCCUAGGAAUCAACGUUACAGACCACUCUGAUAACCUUCAUCGUGGAUUUGCAGUAUUAGUCGUUAUUAUGGUGUGCACUUUUGUUUCUGCCUUUGCCUGGUCUUGGGGACCUCUUGGAUGGCUAAUCCCCAGUGAGACUUUCCCACUGGAGACCCGCUCAGCUGGUCAGAGUGUGACAGUUUGUAUCAACUUGCUCUUCACUUUUGUUAUAGCACAGGCCUUCCUCUCCAUGCUGUGCCACUUCAAAUAUGGCAUCUUCUUGUUCUUCUCUGGUUGGGUGUUUAUCAUGUCAUUCUUCGUAUUUUUCCUGGUACCAGAGACCAAAAAUAUACCUAUUGAAGAGAUGACAGAGAGAGUGUGGAAGCAGCAUUGGUUCUGGAAGAGAUUUAUGGAUGACAAUGAGGAGGGAGCAUUUGAAAUUAGUGUUCACAAACCACAGAAAAAUGGCCAUGCAAAUGGAUUUGAUCCUGUUACCCAGCUGUAAAUUUGAGAGAGGUUUUAAAGUUAUAACUUACAAGAACAUUAGAAUAUGAGUAACAUAUAACUUUGUAAAUGACAUGUUGUCUAGUUUAAGUUUUUAAAG
This 832-nucleotide unclassified non-coding RNA is filed under the name Hevea brasiliensis (rubber tree). Lineage: Eukaryota; Viridiplantae; Streptophyta; Magnoliopsida; Malpighiales; Euphorbiaceae. The record is from RNAcentral.